Molecule: ribosomal RNA, 229 nt
Filed under: uncultured bacterium
Lineage: Bacteria
Description: partial 16S ribosomal RNA
Rfam family: Bacterial small subunit ribosomal RNA
Source: RNAcentral
UGAGUAACACGUAUCCAACCUGCCGUCUACUCUUGGUCAGCCUUCUGAAAGGAAGAUUAAUCCAGGAUGGCAUCAUGAGUUCACAUGUCCGCAUGAUUAAAGGUAUUUUCCGGUAGACGAUGGGGAUGCGUUCCAUUAGAUAGUAGGCGGGGUAACGGCCCACCUAGUCAACGAUGGAUAGGGGUUCUGAGAGGAAGGUCCCCCACAUUGGAACUGAGACACGGUCCAA